UCUCCGUAGGUGAACCUGCGGAGGGAUCAUUACUGAGUGAGGGUCUCCGGGCCCGACCUCCAACCCUUUGUGAAAUCGACCGCGUUGCCUCGGGGGGCGAGUCCGCUCGUCCCCCGGUGGCCUACUCAAACUCUGCUUCAUCAAGCGUCUGAGUCUACUCGAGAAAUCGAAACAAAACUUUCAACAACGGAUCUCUUGGUUCUGGCAUCGAUGAAGAACGCAGC
This 224-nucleotide unclassified non-coding RNA is filed under the name uncultured fungus. RNAcentral's name for it is "sequence contains ITS1, 5.8S rRNA gene". The stretch from base 176 to 224 matches the Rfam family "5.8S ribosomal RNA", at positions 1 to 49 of the family's 154-position model. Lineage: Eukaryota; Fungi. The record is from RNAcentral.